This 255-nucleotide ribosomal RNA is filed under the name uncultured bacterium. RNAcentral describes it as "partial 16S ribosomal RNA". It matches the Rfam family "Bacterial small subunit ribosomal RNA", at positions 8 to 254 of the family's 1533-position model. The record is from RNAcentral.
AGAGUUUGAUCCUGGCUCAGGACGAACGCUGGCGGCGCGCCUAACACAUGCAAGUCGAACGAGCGAGAGAGAGCUUGCUUUCUCGAGCGAGUGGCGAACGGGUGAGUAACGCGUGAGGAACCUGCCUCAAAGAGGGGGACAACAGUUGGAAACGACUGCUAAUACCGCAUAAGCCCACGACCCGGCAUCGGGGAAGAGGGAAAAAGGAGCCAAAUCCGCUUUGAGAUGGCCUCGCGUCCGAUUAGCUAGUUGGUG